GACGAACGCUGGCGGCGUGCCUAAUACAUGCAAGUCGAACGCAUUUUCUUUCACCGUAGCUUGCUACACCGAAAGAAAAUGAGUGGCGAACGGGUGAGUAACACGUGGGUAACCUGCCCAUCAGCGGGGGAUAACACUUGGAAACAGGUGCUAAUACCGCAUAAUUCCAUUUACCGCAUGGUAGAUGGGUGAAAGGCGCUUUUGCGUCACUGAUGGAUGGACCCGCGGUGCAUUAGCUAGUUGGUGGGGUAACGGCCUACCAAGGCUGCGAUGCAUAGCCGACCUGAGAGGGUGAUCGGCCAAACUGGGACUGAGACACGGCCCAGACUCCUACGGGAGGCAGCAGUAGGGAAUCUUCGGCAAUGGACGCAAGUCUGACCGAGCAACGCCGCGUGAGUGAAGAAGGUUUUCGGAUCGUAAAACUCUGUUGUUAGAGAAGAACAAGGAUGAGAGUGGAAAGUUCAUCCCUUGACGGUAUCUAACCAGAAAGCCACGGCUAACUACGUG
This 507-nucleotide ribosomal RNA is filed under the name uncultured bacterium. Its description in RNAcentral is "partial 16S ribosomal RNA". It matches the Rfam family "Bacterial small subunit ribosomal RNA", at positions 28 to 507 of the family's 1533-position model. The record is from RNAcentral.